This 1095-nucleotide long non-coding RNA is filed under the name Crocodylus porosus (Australian saltwater crocodile). RNAcentral's name for it is "lncRNA (ENSCPRG00005004818.1)". Lineage: Eukaryota; Metazoa; Chordata; Crocodylia; Crocodylidae. The record is from RNAcentral.
AAUUGGGAAAACAUGGAUUUCUGCAAUUUAGAAUUAUUCUAGAGUGAUUUAUGUUUUAUGGGGACUCUUUAAUGUGUAAUUAUAAAAUGGACUGAACAAAUUGAGUAAUGUGUGUAGCUAACGAGUCUGACCAGCUGACAAGCACUUAUGAAAUUUAUGUAGCAUCACUCUCUGACUGGAACUGGUUUGCCACAUCACCCUUUUUUUGCUUGGUAAUAAGUUUUUAAUCUUUAUUUUAGUUGUCAAUAAGCUGUUAUGCUCAGAGGCCACAAUCAGGAUAAAGGCCGCAGAGUGCUAGGCACUGCACAGAUGCACAUAAAGUUUCUGCAUAAUCAUCCAGUUCGAAGAGCCAACACAAGGGUUGGAUCUCCUUUCAUCCCAUGUAAUUUGCUUUGGUUUUUGCCUCCCUUGAAUACUGUCUUUCAUUUUAGUCUUCAUCCUGGGCCUAACAGUUCUUGCAGAAGGCAAGUCACCCAUGGGUAUAUUUUUCUUGUCCAACUGUUCAGUCAGAAACUAAGAAAAGCAUGAGGAUUUUGUGCUCUUUGUUCCGGGUAAGCGUGAAGAGCACUUUUUUGGCAAGGCUGUUCUGCUGGGACUCCCCUGCUGUUCUUUGGAACGGUAUCUUUCUUGGCAAGCAGAUCAGUUCUGUGUGUUUUCAACUGUUGUCUAAUUUCCUUACCCAUCCUGUGCAUGUGUAUAUGGGAGAGAGGAAAAAAUCUGUGUGAAAAUGGCACACUUCAUUGUGUGGCAUAAAGGUUUUGUGGGCAUGAGUUCAGAAUGGCUGUAUGACUCAUAAGUGGGAAGACUUCAACUCAAUUAUGCAGAUUAUCUCAGCCAACAAAAUCUUUAUUCUGCAGCAAACCAGCAGGUAGGUAUUCUUUAUGUAACCAUGUAAGUGACAGAAAAUGAUGCUAGAAAUAUUUAGAUAGUUUAAGCAUUUUUCAUAGUAUUCCCUAUUCUUCUACCUGUGAAGUCAAUCUGAUUUCCUUACUACAUAUCCAAGUGAACAGGAUGGGAAGAGUAAAAUUAUAACCAAAGUAUAUGUGAGGUGAGGCCACUAAUAAUUUUCAUGUGUAGAAAUAUUGUGACUUUUAU